This 301-nucleotide ribosomal RNA is filed under the name Clostridioides difficile. RNAcentral describes it as "bacterial LSU rRNA". It matches the Rfam family "Bacterial large subunit ribosomal RNA", at positions 224 to 528 of the family's 2925-position model. The record is from RNAcentral. Lineage: Bacteria; Bacillati; Bacillota; Clostridia; Peptostreptococcales; Peptostreptococcaceae.
AGAAAUUCGAUUCCGUAAGUAGCGGCGAGCGAACGCGGAUUAGCCCAAACCAAUAAAGUUUUCUUUAUUGGGGUUGCGGACAUAUCAUAACGAAGAGGUAUCGUAAUUGAAGAGGUUUGGAAAGACCCACCACAGAAGGUAAUAGUCCUGUAUGUUAAACGAGAAGACUUCAGAUAUGAUCCAGAGUACCACGGGACACGUGAAACCCUGUGGGAAGCAGGAGGGACCACCCUCCAAGGCUAAAUACUACCUAGUGACCGAUAGCGUAUAGUACCGUGAGGGAAAGGUGAAAAGAACCCCG